This is a long non-coding RNA of Gambusia affinis (western mosquitofish), 1189 nucleotides long. RefSeq lists it as uncharacterized. The record is from RefSeq and is a predicted model, not a curated record. The transcript has 3 exons. Lineage: Eukaryota; Metazoa; Chordata; Actinopteri; Cyprinodontiformes; Poeciliidae.
AUAAUAAUAAAUUACGGAUUGCACCCGACAAAACAUUAGAGAAGAAGAAGAAGCUACGUCAUUCGACGCGACACUUUCCACGGUCGGAGCUGAUCCGGAUCACAUACACAGGAGUCACUCAUUGAAGAUGAAUCACAUGGUUAGGCUGGACAGGGAUCUUCGAAUAAUUGAGAGACACCAUGGUGUAAAACGAAGGUGGCUCCUUCGGAUGGCAUUUUCCAGAGAACACUGAGAGAUGUUGACCAGGAACUUAGAGGUCAGCUGAUACGACGAGCACAAAAUGAAGCAAGGGAGAGGGCCACUCUUCUCAACCUGAAAAGAAGAUGUAAUGGUAACACUACUUCUUCUCUUGACUGUAUGGUCAUUAGCAAAAUUGAAGCUCAAAGGUCUUGUGGUAAACCUAAAUUUAAUCUUUAUGUUAUCCCUGCACCAUGCAUAUGUUCACUCUAGGUACUUAAGCGUCUUUAUGCAGUGUAAGAAGUGACUGGUUUAUUCCAACUUGUCCUUUGUCAUGGGUAUGUGCUUUUGAUGUGUAUGGUUAUUUAUCUUUGGUGUAUGAAUAUGUUUCUUGGGUGUAUCCUGUCUUUCACCAAUGCCCGUUGUAAAUAGGCACAGAUAAGUGAGUAUUGUAAUACAUCCAUUUUCUAAUGGACAUUCAAUGAUCUUAUACAUUACGGCAGAUAUUAAGUCUUUCAGAGCGAAGGUGAAACAUUAACAUGUUUAACGUUGAAAAAUUGUCUUAUAGUACUACUUGGUUCUUUGCUGGAAUAAUGACAUGGUGUCUCACUGUCCAAAAUGUUCAAAUCUGUAUGUUCAAGAUAGUGUCUAACAUAUGAUAUAAGUAGUUUUUGGUUUUUAUAGCCAUGGAUCUCCAUUGUGCAACAUCUUCAGGUCUGUGAAAUCAUUCACUUCUGUUUUCAGCAAAAUUGUAAAACAAGCUUUUAUUGGAGAUGUAUUUUGUGUUGUGCUAUCUGUCAUUAAACAUGUUUUUUCAAAAUGUAUUAUGUAUCACUGGGACUGCAAAAAGACACUUCUAAUUUGGUCACAGUUGUGACAUUUGUUUAUCCAAAGCUGUCAAUGUUAGCAUUUCCUGUAGUUUGUCUUAAACAAUUGAUAAAUGUAUAAUGCAUCAAUAAAAGCUUUUGUAUUGAAAAGAUAUUCUGUCAAAUGUGAGUGCUUUACAUAGUAA